UGGUUUGGAAGAGGUCCAACUUCAAGAUGUUCAUUAAUGAAACCUCUUGAUGACAGAGUCGUGUAGUCGUAAUCUGACAUUUUACUUACGCACCAUCUUGCUAAUCUCUUCUCUAGUAAGUACGUCAGGGCUGAGGUCCUUUCCACAACAGGUCGGGCUUCUAUAUUUCUUUUCUUUGAGGCGAGAAUAUGUUGUAUACAGGCGAUGUGUUGAUGAUAUUUUGGUGGUUUUGGAGAGCCCAGAACAUCCUUUCCCCUGGAGGAGAGAGUGACAGAUCGGGCUUUGGGUUUGAAGUUGAUUGGGCGGAGGGGGGACAGAGACCGCAUUGGUUUUCUCGAUGUGGGGGUUGAUAUUGUAGGAGGUGAGUGCCAUUUGAGUGUCUUUGGAGGGGAUAUGUACCUACCACUUUUCAUUGAUGCGAACUCAAAGGAGCAAAUAAAAUUCUGCUUGCUUAUCGUGCUUAUUUGUGUUUUGAAUUUGAACUCAAAGGAGCCAUGGAUGUAUAAG
RNAcentral lists this long non-coding RNA (507 nucleotides) under Androctonus crassicauda. The record is from RNAcentral. Lineage: Eukaryota; Metazoa; Arthropoda; Arachnida; Scorpiones; Buthidae.